UAGGGAAUCUUCCACAAUGGACGCAAGUCUGAUGGAGCAACACCGCGUGAGUGAAGAAGGGUUUCGGCUCGUAAAGCUCUGUUGUUAAAGAAGAACACGUAUGAGAGUAACUGUUCAUACGUUGACGGUAUUUAACCAGAAAGUCACGGCUAACUACGUGCCAA
RNAcentral lists this ribosomal RNA (164 nucleotides) under uncultured bacterium. RNAcentral's name for it is "partial 16S rRNA". It matches the Rfam family "Bacterial small subunit ribosomal RNA", at positions 355 to 511 of the family's 1533-position model. The record is from RNAcentral.